AGCGAACGCUGGCGGCAGGCCUAACACAUGCAAGUCGAACGAUGUAGCAAUACAUAGUGGCAGACGGGUGCGUAACGCGUGGGAAACUUCCUUUUAGUACGGAAUAGCCCAGGGAAACUUGGAUUAAUACCGUAUACGCCCUACGGGGGAAAGAUUUAUCGCUAAAAGAUGUGCCGCGUUGGAUUAGUUAGUUGGUGGGGUAAUGGCCUACCAAGACGAUGAUCCAUAGCUGGUCUGAGAGGAUGAGCAGCCACACUGAAACUGAGACACGGUACAGACUCCUACGGGAGGCAGCAGUGGGGAAUAUUGGACAAUGGAGGCAACUCUGAUCCAGCCAUGCCGCGUGAAUGACGAAGGCCUUCGGGUUGUAAAGUUCUUUUAGUGGAGAAAAUAAUGAUGGUAUCCACAGAAAAAGCUCCGGCUAACUUCGUGCCAGCCGCCGCGGUAA
Molecule: ribosomal RNA, 448 nt
Filed under: uncultured bacterium
Lineage: Bacteria
Description: partial 16S ribosomal RNA
Rfam family: Bacterial small subunit ribosomal RNA
Source: RNAcentral